AUAAAUAAGCGGAGGAAAAGAAACUAACGAGGAUUCCCCUAGUAACGGCGAGUGAACGGGGAAAAGCCCAGCGCCGAAGCCCUCGUCCCGUGGGACGAUGGGCGUUGUGGCGUUAGGGAGGAACCUCUCCCGGCAGUUUGCGGAAGCCCAAGUCCCCCUGACCGGGGCCACAGCCCGUGGUGGGUGCAAGGCCCGUGUGGCUCUUUCUGCGUCUGCCGGACGGUUCUCUCCCCGGAGUCGGGUUGCUUGGGAGUGCAGCCCUAAGCGGGUGGUAAACUCCACCGAAGGCUAAAUACCUCCACGAGACCGAUAGCAAACAAGUACCGUGAGGGAAAGUUGCAAAGAACUUUGAAGAGAGAGUUCAAGAGUACGUGAAACCGCUCGGAGGCAAACGGGUGGGCCCUCGAAGGUCGAACGGGGGGAUUCAACCCGUCCGCAGGCAUGGUUGCGCGUCACGGAUGGCGAGGCAUCGGGGGUUUUCUCCCCGUGUCUUGCCUUACAGAUCCGAACGUCGGACUGGUCCGUGGCACCAAAGUUAUAUCUUUGCGGCGACCGCGGGCGGGCGCACUUCCCCCUCAGUAGGACGCCGCGACCGGUCGGGUAUCGAAAGAAAAAGCGGCUUUGCAGCGGGACGACGGCAGGUAUCCGUCGCCGGUCACCUUUCUCUCGUCCUUUGUGGCGGGGGAAAAGCCGGUCGGAAUUACAGCUGGUCUCCGCUUCGGUUGCUGCCCGACCGAGGAACUACGUGCCCGCGCUGUCAUGUGACUUCGGUUGCGUGAGACGCGCGGUUCGCCCACCUGGCAGGCUGGGCCACCGGGUACCGGACGCCCCUAGUUUGGCGGUCGGCUAUCUCGUUGUGGCUCGCUGGUGGUCGGGCGUAGCUGCUCUCGUGGUGGCGCUCGUGGUCAGCGGCGAGUAGGUCGGUCGCCCACCCGACCCGUCUUGAAACACGGACCAAGGAGUCUAACAUGUGCGCGAGUCGCAGGGUUGACUCGCAAGUUGAAACCCGAUGGCGAAAUGAAAGUGAAAGUCGGUGCGUCUGACCGACUGAGGCGGGAUCCGUCCGGGUAUCGCUGCAGCUCUCGAGGGGGCUGCGGGAGCCCGGCGGCGCACCGCCGGCCCGUCUCGACCGCUUCCUGUCGGCGAGGCGGAGCAAGAGCGCACACGUUGGGACCCGAAAGAUGGUGAACUAUGCUCGGGCAGGACGAAGCCAGAGGAAACUCUGGUGGAGGUCCGUAGCGAUUCUGACGUGCAAAUCGAUCGUCGGACCUGAGUAUAGGGGCGAAAGACUAAUCGAACCGUCUAGUAGCUGGUUCCCUCCGAAGUUUCCCUCAGGAUAGCUGGUGCUCGGUAAGGAACGCAGUCUCAUCCGGUAAAGCGAAUGAUUAGAGGCCUUGGGGCCGAAUCGACCUCAACCUAUUCUCAAACUUUCAAUGGGUGAGAAGUCCGGCUUGCCUGACUGAAGCCCGGACCAAAUCUGAUCCGACAGGGUGUCGAACUGACAGUUGCCGUUGAAUUUAUUCUUUGGCAAUCUGGCUGCGGCCCUGCUCGGUACGGAUGCGAGUGCCCAGUGGGCCAAUUUUGGUAAGCAGAACUGGCGCUGUGGGAUGAACCAAACGCCGGGUUACGGCGCCCGAUGCGGACGCUCAUCAGACCCCAUGAAAGGUGUUGGUUGCUAUAGACAGCAGGACGGUGGCCAUGGAAGUCGGAAUCCGCUAAGGAGUGUGUAACAACUCACCUGCCGAAGCAACUAGCCCUGAAAAUGGAUGGCGCUCCAGCGUCGAGCCGAUACCCGGCCGCCGGGGCAGAGACUUUGUGGCGAUCCUACAAAAGAAAUGCCCCGGUGAGUAGGAGGGUCGCGGCGGUGUGCGUCGAAGGUGUCGGGCGUAGGCCCGCCUGGAGCCACCGCCGGUGCAGAUCUUGGUGGUAGUAGCAAAUACUCGAGUGAGAACCUUGAGGACUGAAGUGGAGAAGGGUUCCAUGUGAACAGCAGUUGAACAUGGGUCAGUCGGCCCUAAGGAAUAGGGGAAACCCGUUCCGAAGCGGGGUGUUCGUGCAACACGACCCCGGCUGACCGAAAGGGAAUCGGGUUAAUAUUCCCGAACCCGGAUGCGGAAGUCGGACCCUUCGGGGUCCAAUGCGGUAACGCAAACGAACUCGGAGACGUCGGCGGGAGUCCCGGGAAGAGUUGUCUUUUCUUUGUAAGGGACGGACUCCCUGGAAUCGGUUCGACCGGAGAGAGGGAUGUUGUUCCCGUAAAGCACCGCGGCUCUUGCGGUGUCCGGAGCGCUCCCGCCGGCCCUUGAAAAUCCGAGGGAGAGAAUUUGAUUUUCGCACCGGACCGUACCCAUAUCCGCAGCAGGUCUCCAAGGUGAACAGCCUCUAGUCGAUAGAACAAUGUAGGUAAGGGAAGUCGGCAAGCCAGAUCCGU
Molecule: ribosomal RNA, 2431 nt
Filed under: Scolopendra subspinipes
Lineage: Eukaryota; Metazoa; Arthropoda; Chilopoda; Scolopendromorpha; Scolopendridae
Description: partial 28S ribosomal RNA
Rfam family: Eukaryotic large subunit ribosomal RNA
Source: RNAcentral